RNAcentral lists this ribosomal RNA (461 nucleotides) under uncultured bacterium. Its description in RNAcentral is "partial 16S ribosomal RNA". It matches the Rfam family "Bacterial small subunit ribosomal RNA", at positions 338 to 795 of the family's 1533-position model. The record is from RNAcentral.
CCUACGGGAGGCAGCAGUGAGGAAUAUUGGUCAAUGGGCGAGAGCCUGAACCAGCCAAGUCGCGUGAAGGAUGACGGCCCUACGGGUUGUAAACUUCUUUUGUCAGGGAGCAAUUGGGUCCACGCGUGGGCGUAGCCUGAGUACCUGAAGAAAACGCAUCGGCUAACGCCGUGCCAGCAGCCGCGGUAAUACGGAGGAUGCGAGCGUUAUCCGGAUUUAUUGGGUGUAAAGGGUGCGUAGGCGGUCGGAUAAGUUAGAGGUGAAAUCCCGAGGCUCAACUUCGGAAUUGCCUCUGAUACUGUUCGGCUAGAGAGUAGGUGCGGUAGGCGGAAUGUAUAGUGUAGCGGUGAAAUGCGUAGAGAUCAGACAGAACACCGAUUGCGAAGGCAGCUUACCAAGCUACUUCUGACGUUGAGGCACGAAAGCGUGGGGAGCAAACAGGAUUAGAUACCCCGGUAGUC